AAAUGCGAUAAGUAAUGUGAAUUGCAGAAUUCAGUGAAUCAUCGAAUCUUUGAACGCACAUUGCGCCCGCCAGCACUCUGGCGGGCAUGCCUGUUCGAGCGUCAUUUCAACCCUCAGAACCCCUUGCGGGAUCUGGCGUUGGGGAUUGGCAUCCAGUCAGCCCCGAAAUCUAGUGGCGGUCCCUCCGCGACCUCCCCUGUGCAGUAGCGAUACCUCGCAGCGGGACAGCGGUCUGACCACGCCGUAAAACCCCCAACUUCUCAAGGUUGACCUCGAAUCAGGUAGGAAUACCCGCUGAACUUAAGC
This 306-nucleotide unclassified non-coding RNA is filed under the name plant metagenome. RNAcentral describes it as "partial contains 5.8S ribosomal RNA, internal transcribed spacer 2, and large subunit ribosomal RNA". The stretch from base 1 to 104 matches the Rfam family "5.8S ribosomal RNA", at positions 51 to 154 of the family's 154-position model. The record is from RNAcentral.